This 347-nucleotide ribosomal RNA is filed under the name uncultured bacterium. Its description in RNAcentral is "partial 16S ribosomal RNA". It matches the Rfam family "Bacterial small subunit ribosomal RNA", at positions 338 to 700 of the family's 1533-position model. The record is from RNAcentral.
CCUACGGGAGGCAGCAGUGGGGAAUAUUGGGCAAUGGACGCAAGUCUGACCCAGCAACGCCGCGUGAAGGAAGAAGGCUUUCGGGUUGUAAACGUCUUGUAAGGGGGAAGAGCAGAAGACGGGACCCCUUGAAUAAGCCACGGCUAACUACGUGCCAGCAGCCGCGGUAAUACGUAGGUGGAAAGCGUUGUCCGGAUUUACUGGGGGUAAAGGGCGUGCAGCCGGAGAGACAAGUCAGAUUUGAAAUCCACGGGCUCAACCCGUGAACUGCAUUGGAAACUGUUUCCCUUGAGUGUCGGAGAGGUAAUCGGUCUUCCUUUUGUAGCGGUGACCUGCGUCGAUUUUAG